Molecule: ribosomal RNA, 192 nt
Filed under: uncultured bacterium
Lineage: Bacteria
Description: partial 16S ribosomal RNA
Rfam family: Bacterial small subunit ribosomal RNA
Source: RNAcentral
CCUACGGGAGGCAGCAGUGGGGAAUUGUUCGCAAUGGGCGCACGCCUGACGACGCAACGCCGCGUGGAGGACGAAGAUCUUCGGGUCGUAAACUCCUGUCGAGCGGGACGAACCUCACACGGGUAAACAGCCCGCGUGACUGACGGUACCGCUAAAGGAAGCCCCGGCUAACUCCGUGCCAGCAGCCGCGGU